GUGAGUCAUCGAAUCUUUGAACGCACAUUGCGCCCGCCAGCAUUCUGGCGGGCAUGCCUGUUCGAGCGUCAUUUCAACCCUCAAGCUCUGCUUGGUGUUGGGGCCCUACAGCUGAUGUAGGCCCUCAAAGGUAGUGGCGGACCCUCCCGGAGCCUCCUUUGCGUAGUAACUUUACGUCUCGCACUGGGAUCCGGAGGGACUCUUGCCGUAAAACCCCCCAAUUUUCCAAAGGUUGACCUCGGAUCAGGUAGGAAUACCCGCUGAACUUAAGCAUAUCAAUAAGCGGAGGA
Molecule: unclassified non-coding RNA, 290 nt
Filed under: Colletotrichum sp.
Lineage: Eukaryota; Fungi; Ascomycota; Sordariomycetes; Glomerellales; Glomerellaceae
Description: partial contains 5.8S ribosomal RNA, internal transcribed spacer 2, and large subunit ribosomal RNA
Rfam family: 5.8S ribosomal RNA (bases 1-71)
Source: RNAcentral